UACGUAGGGGGCAAGCGUUGUCCGGAUUUAUUGGGCGUAAAGCGCUCGCAGGUGGUUCGAUGCGUCGUGCGUGAAAGACCCCGGCUCAACUGGGGAGGGUCGUGCGAUACGGUCGGACUGGAGGCCAGUAGGGGGAUGCGGAAUUCCGGGUGUAGUGGUGGAAUGCGUAGAGAUCCGGAGGAACACCAGCGGCGAAGGCGGCAUCCUGGACUGGUCCUGACACUCAUGAGCGAAAGCGUGGGGAGCGAGCCGG
Molecule: ribosomal RNA, 253 nt
Filed under: uncultured bacterium
Lineage: Bacteria
Description: partial 16S ribosomal RNA
Rfam family: Bacterial small subunit ribosomal RNA
Source: RNAcentral